CAGCCGCCGCGGGAAUACGUAGGGUGCAAGCGUUAAUCGGAAUUACUGGGCGUAAAGCGUGCGCAGGCGGUUAUAUAAGACAGAUGUGAAAUCCCCGGGCUCAACCUGGGAACUGCAUUUGUGACUGUAUAGCUAGAGUACGGCAGAGGGGGAUGGAAUUCCGCGUGUAGCAGUGAAAUGCGUAGAUAUGCGGAGGAACACCGAUGGCGAAGGCAAUCCCCUGGGCCUGUACUGACGCUCAUGCACGAAAGCGUGGGGAGCAAACAGGAUUAGAUACCCCUGUAGUCCCUGUCUCUUAUAC
Molecule: ribosomal RNA, 301 nt
Filed under: uncultured bacterium
Lineage: Bacteria
Description: partial 16S ribosomal RNA
Rfam family: Bacterial small subunit ribosomal RNA
Source: RNAcentral